RNAcentral lists this ribosomal RNA (525 nucleotides) under uncultured Bacteroides sp. RNAcentral's name for it is "bacterial SSU rRNA". It matches the Rfam family "Bacterial small subunit ribosomal RNA", at positions 8 to 521 of the family's 1533-position model. Lineage: Bacteria; Pseudomonadati; Bacteroidota; Bacteroidia; Bacteroidales; Bacteroidaceae. The record is from RNAcentral.
AGAGUUUGAUCCUGGCUCAGGAUGAACGCUAGCUACAGGCUUAACACAUGCAAGUCGAGGGGCAGCAUUUUAGUUUGCUUGCAAACUGAAGAUGGCGACCGGCGCACGGGUGAGUAACACGUAUCCAACCUGCCGAUAACUCCGGAAUAGCCUUUCGAAAGAAAGAUUAAUACCGGAUAGUAUACGAAUAUCGCAUGAUAUUUUUAUUAAAGAAUUUCGGUUAUCGAUGGGGAUGCGUUCCAUUAGUUUGUUGGCGGGGUAACGGCCCACCAAGACUACGAUGGAUAGGGGUUCUGAGAGGAAGGUCCCCCACAUUGGAACUGAGACACGGUCCAAACUCCUACGGGAGGCAGCAGUGAGGAAUAUUGGUCAAUGGGCGCGAGCCUGAACCAGCCAAGUAGCGUGAAGGAUGAAGGCUCUAUGGGUCGUAAACUUCUUUUAUAUGGGAAUAAAGUUUUCCACGUGUGGAAUUUUGUAUGUACCAUAUGAAUAAGGAUCGGCUAACUCCGUGCCAGCAGCCGCGGU